This 1172-nucleotide long non-coding RNA is filed under the name Lactuca sativa (garden lettuce). Its description in RNAcentral is "long non-coding RNA (LSAT_LNC006017)". Lineage: Eukaryota; Viridiplantae; Streptophyta; Magnoliopsida; Asterales; Asteraceae. The record is from RNAcentral.
AAACAAUUAGUUUGGCUUGGAGUAAUAAGAAAUUGAUUCAAAAUUUGGAAAUGUUUCUAUUUUGAAGUUUUUUAAUGCUUAAGAUUCUUAAUUAAAUUCAAGAUCUUCUCAAACGGUUCGUUUAGGCGCCUGAACUUCAUAUCUCUUCUUCGUCGUCUCGUAUCCACCAUUGUCUUCUUGAAAUUUCGAGGAGAUAUCAAUCGUUUCGUUCUGGUUUUCGUUCUGUUAUGCUCUUCAUCUCUUUCUUUCUCUAGAUCCAAAAUACAUAUAUGCGUUUAAAUAGGGUUUUCAUUGGUGGUGUUCUUGGGUUCUUCAUGAACACUUGAAUUUUCUGAUAUUAGUCGUUGUCUCCGGUUUAAAGAAACAAUGCCACUUCGAAAACAAACAAAUCUCUAGAAAUUCUCGACAUCGGAAGAAGACGAUGAUGUGGGAGAGCAAGCGUUCUUGGCUGUUCGUGCCCUCCAUUUUUUCGUCAGGUGUUGUUAUCCUUUCCCUAACUCACAUAGACAUGCAUUUUCUUAGGGUUUAUAGGGUCUAAAACACAUUAUCUGUUGAUUUUUUUUUCGUUUUAAUGGCUCUUUUAGGGUCUAAUGGGUUUAAUAAUCAACUGAUCUUUGUUAUCUAACUUUUAUACAUCAGUCACCAAUCAUUUUGAAGAUGAAAUUGAAUGCAUUUGACACUUAAGCUGAGAUGUCGGCACUCUUUUUGGAAUUCAGAGCAACUAUAUUCAGUGUUUGGUACGUUCUGCUGUUUUUGUUUAUUUAUUUAUUUUUUGAAUAAUCUCAUUGACAAUGUAAGAUACAAAUUGGGUGAUACUAAACAUAUGUUUUUUGUUGUUGUGUGUUUUUAAUUCUUGUAAGACGAAAAUGAAGAGAAACUUGAUAAGGAAGACAGUGAUGAUGAUGAGUCAAAUGCUGAUGUGGCAAAAUUGGAAUCAAAACCAGAAUAAUAGGCUAAAUGUAUUUUAGUUCUUAAUCCAGGUAUGUUCUUUUAAUCAUCUUUAUAUUAUGUUGUGUCUUCUAAGUUCUUGUUGUAUGUAUUAGUUUACAUUGAUUAUCAUUUUAAACCAAAAGAACUUUAAUAAGAAAAUGGGCUCAAUGCAAUAAAUAGCAAAAUACUUUCGUUUCUUAUUACAUCAUUGCAAAUUCCAAUUUUUUUUAUCUUACUAAGGC